Molecule: transfer RNA, 74 nt
Filed under: Virgisporangium ochraceum
Lineage: Bacteria; Bacillati; Actinomycetota; Actinomycetes; Micromonosporales; Micromonosporaceae
Also listed under: 1 other name
Description: tRNA-Leu
Rfam family: tRNA
About the family: Transfer RNA (tRNA) molecules are approximately 80 nucleotides in length. Their secondary structure includes four short double-helical elements and three loops (D, anti-codon, and T loops).
Source: RNAcentral
GCCCGGGUGGCCCAACGGCAGAGGCGCACCGCUCAGAACGGUGAGGUUGCGCGUUCGAAUCGCGCUCCGGGUAC